RNAcentral lists this ribosomal RNA (483 nucleotides) under uncultured bacterium. RNAcentral describes it as "bacterial SSU rRNA". It matches the Rfam family "Bacterial small subunit ribosomal RNA", at positions 501 to 986 of the family's 1533-position model. The record is from RNAcentral.
CUACGUGCCAGCAGCCGCGGUAAUACGGAAGGUCCGGGCGUUAUCCGGAUUUAUUGGGUUUAAAGGGAGCGUAGGCCGGAGAUUAAGUGUGUUGUGAAAUGUAGACGCUCAACGUCUGACUUGCAGCGCAUACUGGUUUCCUUGAGUACGCACAACGUUGGCGGAAUUCGUCGUGUAGCGGUGAAAUGCUUAGAUAUGACGAAGAACUCCGAUUGCGAAGGCAGCUGACGGGAGCGCAACUGACGCUGAAGCUCGAAGGUGCGGGUAUCGAACAGGAUUAGAUACCCUGGUAGUCCACACAGUAAACGAUGUAUACUCGCGGUUUGCGAUAGACAGUAAGCCGCCAAGCGAAAGCAUUAAGUAUACCACCUGGGGAGUACGCCGGCAACGGUGAAACUCAAAGGAAUUGACGGGGGCCCGCACAAGCGGAGGAACAUGUGGUUUAAUUCGAUGAUACGCGAGGAACCUUACCCGGGCUUGAAC